Molecule: ribosomal RNA, 227 nt
Filed under: uncultured Anaerolineaceae bacterium
Lineage: Bacteria; Bacillati; Chloroflexota; Anaerolineae; Anaerolineales; Anaerolineaceae
Description: partial 16S ribosomal RNA
Rfam family: Bacterial small subunit ribosomal RNA
Source: RNAcentral
AUAAACCGGAGGAAGGUGGGGAUGACGUCAAGUCAGCAUGGCCUUUAUAUCCUGGGCUACACACACGCUACAAUGGGAAGGGACGAAUAGGUUGCGAAGCCGCGAGGCGGAGCCAAUCCAGCAAACUUCCCUCAGUUCAGAUUGCAGGCUGCAACCCGCCUGCAUGAAGUUGGAGUUGCUAGUAAACGCAGGUCAGCCAUACUGCGUUGAAUACGUUCCCGGGGCUU